This 477-nucleotide ribosomal RNA is filed under the name uncultured bacterium. RNAcentral's name for it is "partial 16S ribosomal RNA". It matches the Rfam family "Bacterial small subunit ribosomal RNA", at positions 30 to 507 of the family's 1533-position model. The record is from RNAcentral.
AUUGAACGCUGGCGGCAUGCCUUACACAUGCAAGUCGAACGGUAGCAGGUUAAGCUGCCGAGUGGCGAACGGGUGAGUAAUGUAUCGGAACGUGCCCAGUCGUGGGGGAUAACUGCUCGAAAGAGCAGCUAAUACCGCAUACGACCUGAGGGUGAAAGCGGGGGAUCGCAAGACCUCGCGCGAUUGGAGCGGCCGAUAUCAGAUUAGGUAGUUGGUGAGGUAAAGGCUCACCAAGCCGACGAUCUGUAGCUGGUCUAAGAGGACGACCAGCCACACUGGGACUGAGACACGGCCCAGACUCCUACGGGAGGCAGCAGUGGGGAAUUUUGGACAAUGGGCGCAAGCCUGAUCCAGCCAUGCCGCGUGCGGGAAGAAGGCCUUCGGGUUGUAAACCGCUUUUGUCAGGGAAGAAAAGGUUCUGGCUAAUACCUGGGACUCAUGACGGUACCUGAAGAAUAAGCACCGGCUAACUACGUG